Molecule: ribosomal RNA, 253 nt
Filed under: uncultured bacterium
Lineage: Bacteria
Description: partial 16S ribosomal RNA
Rfam family: Bacterial small subunit ribosomal RNA
Source: RNAcentral
UACAGAGGGGGCAAGCGUUGUUCGGAAUUACUGGGCGUAAAGGGCGCGUAGGCGGCCCGUUAAGUCGAACGUGAAAUCCCCAGGCUCAACCUGGGAACUGCGUCCGAUACUGGCGGGCUUGAAUCCGGGAGAGGGAUGCGGAAUUCCAGGUGUAGCGGUGAAAUGCGUAGAUAUCUGGAGGAACACCGGUGGCGAAGGCGGCAUCCUGGACCGACACUGACACUGAGGAGCGAAAGCCAGGGGAGCAAACGGG